This 224-nucleotide long non-coding RNA is filed under the name Elaeis guineensis (African oil palm). RNAcentral's name for it is "long non-coding RNA (EGUI_LNC041552)". The record is from RNAcentral. Lineage: Eukaryota; Viridiplantae; Streptophyta; Magnoliopsida; Arecales; Arecaceae.
AAGAGGAUGAGAGGACAUUACUACUUAGUAGAGAGUCGAGUGUGAGGUAGAGCUUCAAGAACCAGGAGGAGUCCAAAGUAAGGUGGAGCUUUAGGUGGAGAUGGAUCGGACACGAGAUGCGAGACUCAGAAGGAUGAGAGGUAAUAUUGUAGGAUGAGAUUCUUAUUACCAUAGGAAGAUACUCCGAGUAGGUCUCAGAUCAGGAGGAGUACAACAUACGAUGG